CCUACGGGUGGCAGCAGUGGGGAAUAUUGGGCAAUGGGCGCAAGCCUGACCCAGCAACGCCGCGUGAAGGAAGAAGGCUUUCGGGUUGUAAACUUCUUUUGUCAGGGAAGAGUAGAAGACGGUACCUGACGAAUAAGCCACGGCUAACUACGUGCCAGCAGCCGCGGUAAUACGUAGGUGGCAAGCGUUGUCCGGAUUUACUGGGUGUAAAGGGCGUGUAGCCGGGUUGACAAGUCAGAUGUGAAAUCCUGCGGCUUAACCGCAGAACUGCAUUUGAAACUGUUGAUCUUGAGUACUGGAGAGGCAGAUGGAAUUCCUAGUGUAGCGGUGAAAUGCGUAGAUAUUACACAGAACACCGAUUGCGAAGGCAGCUUGCUAGGCCGGAUCUGACACUGAUGCACGAAAGCGUGGGGAUCGAACAGGAUUAGAUACCCUUGUAGUC
RNAcentral lists this ribosomal RNA (442 nucleotides) under uncultured bacterium. RNAcentral's name for it is "partial 16S ribosomal RNA". It matches the Rfam family "Bacterial small subunit ribosomal RNA", at positions 338 to 795 of the family's 1533-position model. The record is from RNAcentral.